This 433-nucleotide ribosomal RNA is filed under the name uncultured bacterium. RNAcentral's name for it is "partial 16S ribosomal RNA". It matches the Rfam family "Bacterial small subunit ribosomal RNA", at positions 29 to 507 of the family's 1533-position model. The record is from RNAcentral.
AACGAACGCUGGCGGCAUGCCUAACACAUGCAAGUCGAACGAGACCUCCGGGUCUAGUGGCGCACGGGUGCGUAACGCGGGGGAACCUGCCCUUAGGUUCGGAAUAACUCCCCGAAAGGGGUGCUAAUACCGGAUAAUGUCUUCGGACCAAAGAUUUAUCGCCUUUGGAUGGGCCCGCGUUGGAUUAGCUAGUGGGUAGGGUAAAAGCCUAUCAAGGCGACGAUCCAUAGCUGGUCUGAGAGAAUGAUCAGCCACACUGGGGCUGAGCCACGGCCCAGGCUCCUACGGCAGGCAGCAGUGGGGAGUAUUGGACAAUGGGCGAGAGCCUGAUCCAGCAAUGCCGGGUGAAUGGAGAUGGCCUUAGAGUUGUGAAGCUCUUUUACCCGGGAUGAUAAUGACAGGACCGGGAGAAUAAUGUCCGUCUAACUCCGUG